This 253-nucleotide ribosomal RNA is filed under the name uncultured bacterium. RNAcentral's name for it is "partial 16S ribosomal RNA". It matches the Rfam family "Bacterial small subunit ribosomal RNA", at positions 524 to 776 of the family's 1533-position model. The record is from RNAcentral.
UACAGAGGUCUCAAGCGUUGUUCGGAUUCAUUGGGCGUAAAGGGUGUGUAGGUGGCGCGCUAAGUCGGGUGUGAAAUUUCGGAGCUUAACUCCGAAACUGCAUUCGAUACUGGCGUGCUUGAGGACUGGAGAGGAGACUGGAAUUCAUGGUGUAGCAGUGAAAUGCGUAGAGAUCAUGAGGAAGACCAGUGGCGAAGGCGGGUCUCUGGACAGUUCCUGACACUGAGGCGCGAAAGCUAGGGGAGCAAACGGG